This is a long non-coding RNA of Myotis daubentonii (Daubenton's bat), 1710 nucleotides long. RefSeq lists it as uncharacterized. The record is from RefSeq and is a predicted model, not a curated record. NCBI's taxonomy places the organism in Eukaryota, Metazoa, Chordata, Mammalia, Chiroptera, Vespertilionidae.
GCGCAGGCCCGGCUACCCUGCCCCCGCUCCGGCUCGGCCGCCCGGAAAUGCGGCUGCCGCCCGCAGUCCACUCGCCGCCCAGCGGCCCGGCCCGGCCCGGCCCGGCCCGGCCCAGCCGCCCCUCGGGCCUCCCGCGGUUCUUGAAGGGGCACGUGUCUGAGUGAAGAAACCAGGCUCGGAAGGUGACCUGCCCAAGCCGCCAGCCGGGCAGCAGCAGAGCUGUGGCUGGAACGCUGUGCCAGCCCCCGCCGGGAACUGAGGCAGCGAAGCCUCACCUGCACUCCUCGCUGCUCCAGGUGUUGGAUCAGACUUUUCCUCAUGAUGAGCCUGGUGGGGCGGGGGUGGCAAAGGUCAAGAUGAGGGGGACUGAGGAGAAGGGCGGAGGCAGGUCUCAUUGGGGACACUCCACCCAGCCGUCUCGCCCACCUCACCAUUUAGUAACCACGGCUGUCAGCUUGUUCAGCCCAGAGCAGGAGAAUGGGAAGUAGGUCCUGUGGAGAAGGGGUGUCGUGGUCAGUCCAUGCGUCUCUCUCCGUCACGGGGGUGGAGCGUGGGGGUGGUUGUGAUCCCUGACCAGUGAAACCUACCCCCCCGCUAAAAGAACCUUUGUAGCCCUGGCUAGUUUGGCUCAGUGGAUAGAGUGUUGGUCUGUGGACUGAAGGGUCCCGGGUUCAAUUCCCGUCAAGGGCUCGAUCCCCAGUAGGGGGUGUUCAGGAGGCAGCUGAUCAGUGAUUGUCUCUCAUCACUGAUGUUUCUAUCUCUCUCUCCCACUCUGAAAUAAAUUUUAAAAUUUUUUUUAAAAAGAACCUUUGCAGUUGCCCGGACAAAGAAUUCACCCUUUGUUCAGUGAGAUCCUCCUCCUAUAUCCUUGACUCCAUGCUUUGAGGGUGUGCCCAUCCCUCACUGUUUUUCAGAAGCGGAAACUCAGUCUUGGAGAGUUUGAUUAACUUGCCCGAGGUCACGUGCAAGUCUGUGGUGGGGCCAGGGCGGAAACCUAGCUAGAUUCCCAAGCUGGACACAGUCUGGAGGUCCUCCCGGUUGGGUCUGACCAGCUUCUGAGAACAGUCAGCGUUUAAUGGGUCGGCUCCUUGCCCCUGCUUGCCCCACCCCAGGGGAGACUUCAGAGCCCCUCCAGUGUCCCAGGGCAGGCUUGGGAGUCAGGCCCAGGGCAAGCCAGGCCCCGGACUUCUAGCCGUAUCACCUCGAGCAAGUUACAGAAGCUCUGAGCCUCAGAUUCUCCAUGUUCUGUGGGUCAUGAUUCCUAUAACUCCUGGGGGUGCUGCCAAGUAAAGCUCAACUGACGAAAGGAUGUGGAAACACUAAAUCCUGCAUAAACAUUCUAUAUACAAAGUUCUGUAGAAUAAUGAUGUCUUUGUUGCAAAGGGUUGUGGGGGCUGGCUGGGCGCUUCUCAUGACAGCAGAAAGCACUGGGCCACCACAGCCGAUUCUCUGAGAGCAGGUCUGGGGGAGGGGGGCGGCCCGAGAGCUGGCGAAGUAUCCACAUUCCUCAUACUUUACCCAGACGUUACUUUGUUAAUCCUUGUUUCCCCGCAGGAAAACACUUGCUUUUCCUUUGGGGCAUCAGAGUGAUGCUACAAUUAACAUGCGUCUCCCUGUACGCUGAGGGCCUUGCCCCACCCACACUGGUCUUUAUUACUAGUGUUCCUGCACCUGGAAGAGUCGGCAGUCAAUAAAUACUAGGUGGAUGAA